CCAGUCAAGACGCUUUAAUAGGUGGUGUAGGCACAUGAGCGAAAGAUGAAGACACGCAUUACGUUUAUGUCAGGAAAAAUACAACCCAAAUGGGUUGGCAAUGCUUUUUAUAAAGACGGCGAGUGUGGCUGAGAGUUUGCCCAGGUCACAUGAAGUUUGCAAGAUUCCAUGAGGUUUGUCUCCAGUCUUCUGUGCUGUGGGAAGAAAUAGCUGGAUCGCAAUGAGACUGCAACUCCUGCAAGUGUUCAGCCAAUCGGUACUGCUGCUCGAUGGCAGGGGCAAUUUUAAUUUGUCUACUUGCUGCCAUUGUGGCGACGGAAGUUCUGCUGGGCCACAAGGUGGCUGUUGGGUGUUUACAUCUUUGGAACAAAUGUUGAGUGUUGCUGCUUUGCCCUGCCCAGACUGCGGACGCCAGGAUUACUUGUGUAUGUUGACCGGACUUGGAGUUUCUUCAAGAGCUUCAGUUGUGAAAUGCUUAAAGUAAGCAUUUAGUUGAUUGGACUAGACUUUGCUGUGGACCAAUUUAAGUUGGCUAGACGACAAUCAAGGAAUUUUGUUGGUGAUAUGUGUUCUUGGACACGAUCCUACCAAAGGAGAAGACUUUUUGACAACUGCUGAUAUAAAAAGGAUAUAUAAUUGGAAGUCAAUUGCCACUUAUCAUUCAAUUUGUGCUUGUAGUGUUUGAAUAAAAAAAUAAUGAAUAGGCAUCCUUGUACUGUUUUUGACUGGGGGGUGGGCUUGCUAAUUGUGUAAUGUGAUAUUUAACACUCAACCAUACCUCUUCGUAAGGUUGCCCCUGUAAGAGGUUACUAACCAAAGCUAAAGCAUUCAAUGCAGAAGUUUCACAUGAAUAGUAAAUGCAAUCUAACGUGUUUUUAAUUUAGUCAUAAAGUUUGGUUUAUCAAUUACCAGCAGUAGGACUAAGCCACUGCAAAUAAGAACCA
Molecule: long non-coding RNA, 944 nt
Filed under: Salmo salar (Atlantic salmon)
Lineage: Eukaryota; Metazoa; Chordata; Actinopteri; Salmoniformes; Salmonidae
Description: lncRNA (ENSSSAG00000106179.1)
Source: RNAcentral